GGGUUGUGAGGUUAAGCGACUAAGCGUACACGGUGGAUGCCCUGGCAGUCAGAGGCGAUGAAGGGCGUGCUAAUCUGCGAUAAGCGCCGGUAAGGUGAUAUGAACCGUUAUAACCGGCGAUACCCGAAUGGGGAAACCCAGUGUGACUCGUCACACUAUCAUUAACUGAAUCCAUAGGUUAAUGAGGCGAACCGGGGGAACUGAAACAUCUAAGUACCCCGAGGAAAAGAAAUCAACCGAGAUUCCCCCAGUAGCGGCGAGCGAACGGGGAGGAGCCCAGAGCCUGAAUCAGCAUGUGUGUUAGUGGAAGCGUCUGGAAAGGCGCGCGAUACAGGGUGACAGCCCCGUACACAAAAGCGCAUGUGCUGUGAGCUCGAUGAGUAGGGCGGGACACGUGGUAUCCUGUCUGAAUAUGGGGGGACCAUCCUCCAAGGCUAAAUACUCCUGACUGACCGAUAGUGAACCAGUACCGUGAGGGAAAGGCGAAAAGAACCCCGGCGAGGGGAGUGAAAAAGAACCUGAAACCGUGUACGUACAAGCAGUGGGAGCACAGGUUUACCUGUGUGACUGCGUACCUUUUGUAUAAUGGGUCAGCGACUUAUAUUCUGUAGCAAGGUUAACCGAAUAGGGGAGCCGGAGGGAAACCGAGUCUUAAUUGGGCGUUAAGUUGCAGGGUAUAGACCCGAAACCCGGUGAUCUAGCCAUGGGCAGGUUGAAGGUUGGGUAACACUAACUGGAGGACCGAACCGACUAAUGUUGAAAAAUUAGCGGAUGACCUGUGGCUGGGGGUGAAAGGCCAAUCAAACCGGGAGAUAGCUGGUUCUCCCCGAAAGCUAUUUAGGUAGCGCCUCGUGAAUUCAUCUCCGGGGGUAGAGCACUGUUUCGGCUAGGGGGCCAUCCCGGCUUACCAACCCGAUGCAAACUGCGAAUACCGGAGAAUGUUAUCACGGGAGACACACGGCGGGUGCUAACGUCCGUCGUGAAGAGGGAAACAACCCAGACCGCCAGCUAAGGUCCCAAAGUCAUGGUUAAGUGGGAAACGAUGUGGGAAGGCCCAGACAGCCAGGAUGUUGGCUUAGAAGCAGCCAUCAUUUAAAGAAAGCGUAAUAGCUCACUGGUCGAGUCGGCCUGCGCGGAAGAUGUAACGGGGCUAAACCAUGCACCGAAGCUGCGGCAGCGACGCUGAUGCGUUGUUGGGUAGGGGAGCGUUCUGUAAGCCUGCGAAGGUGUGCUGUGAGGCAUGCUGGAGGUAUCAGAAGUGCGAAUGCUGACAUAAGUAACGAUAAAGCGGGUGAAAAGCCCGCUCGCCGGAAGACCAAGGGUUCCUGUCCAACGUUAAUCGGGGCAGGGUGAGUCGACCCCUAAGGCGAGGCCGAAAGGCGUAGUCGAUGGGAAACGGGUUAAUAUUCCCGUACUUGGUGUUACUGCGAAGGGGGGACGGAGAAGGCUAUGUUGGCCGGGCGACGGUUGUCCCGGUUUAAGCGUGUAGGUGUGUGUUCCAGGUAAAUCCGGUUCACUUUAACACUGAGGCGUGAUGACGAGGCACUACGGUGCUGAAGCAACAAAUGCCCUGCUUCCAGGAAAAGCCUCUAAGCAUCAGGUAACAUCAAAUCGUACCCCAAACCGACACAGGUGGUCAGGUAGAGAAUACCAAGGCGCUUGAGAGAACUCGGGUGAAGGAACUAGGCAAAAUGGUGCCGUAACUUCGGGAGAAGGCACGCUGACACGUAGGUGAAGUGAUUUACUCACGGAGCUGAAGUCAGUCGAAGAUACCAGCUGGCUGCAACUGUUUAUUAAAAACACAGCACUGUGCAAACACGAAAGUGGACGUAUACGGUGUGACGCCUGCCCGGUGCCGGAAGGUUAAUUGAUGGGGUCAGCGCAAGCGAAGCUCCUGAUCGAAGCCCCGGUAAACGGCGGCCGUAACUAUAACGGUCCUAAGGUAGCGAAAUUCCUUGUCGGGUAAGUUCCGACCUGCACGAAUGGCGUAAUGAUGGCCAGGCUGUCUCCACCCGAGACUCAGUGAAAUUGAACUCGCUGUGAAGAUGCAGUGUACCCGCGGCAAGACGGAAAGACCCCGUGAACCUUUACUAUAGCUUGACACUGAACAUUGAGCCUUGAUGUGUAGGAUAGGUGGGAGGCUUUGAAGUGUGGACGCCAGUCUGCAUGGAGCCGACCUUGAAAUACCACCCUUUAAUGUUUGAUGUUCUAACGUGGACCCGUGAUCCGGGUUGCGGACAGUGUCUGGUGGGUAGUUUGACUGGGGCGGUCUCCUCCUAAAGAGUAACGGAGGAGCACGAAGGUUGGCUAAUCCUGGUCGGACAUCAGGAGGUUAGUGCAAUGGCAUAAGCCAGCUUGACUGCGAGCGUGACGGCGCGAGCAGGUGCGAAAGCAGGUCAUAGUGAUCCGGUGGUUCUGAAUGGAAGGGCCAUCGCUCAACGGAUAAAAGGUACUCCGGGGAUAACAGGCUGAUACCGCCCAAGAGUUCAUAUCGACGGCGGUGUUUGGCACCUCGAUGUCGGCUCAUCACAUCCUGGGGCUGAAGUAGGUCCCAAGGGUAUGGCUGUUCGCCAUUUAAAGUGGUACGCGAGCUGGGUUUAGAACGUCGUGAGACAGUUCGGUCCCUAUCUGCCGUGGGCGCUGGAGAACUGAGGGGGGCUGCUCCUAGUACGAGAGGACCGGAGUGGACGCAUCACUGGUGUUCGGGUUGUCAUGCCAAUGGCACUGCCCGGUAGCUAAAUGCGGAAGAGAUAAGUGCUGAAAGCAUCUAAGCACGAAACUUGCCCCGAGAUGAGUUCUCCCUGAGACUUAGAGUCUCCUGAAGGAACGUUGAAGACGACGACGUUGAUAGGCCGGGUGUGUAAGCGCAGCGAUGCGUUGAGCUAACCGGUACUAAUGAACCGUGAGGCUUAACCUUACAACGCCGAAG
This 2929-nucleotide ribosomal RNA is filed under the name Salmonella enterica subsp. enterica serovar Cerro str. CFSAN001588. RNAcentral's name for it is "bacterial LSU rRNA". It matches the Rfam family "Bacterial large subunit ribosomal RNA". Lineage: Bacteria; Pseudomonadati; Pseudomonadota; Gammaproteobacteria; Enterobacterales; Enterobacteriaceae. The record is from RNAcentral.